GCGGCAGCAGUGCCCGCGGCAGCAGUGCCCGCUGCUCCCACUGCCGGAGCCCACGAGUCCGGCUCCCACGCCUCGCUCUGCAGCUGGAGAAACAUCUGUGUGAGCUGCUUCCCGAGGAGGCCCUGUGCUGGUUGCUGAUCUCCUGCCCAGCUGUGAGGAGAAGGGACUAUUUUGGCUGGCUUUAUGAACGUGGCCUGGAUGGAGCCCUCCUCCACUGCCUUGGGGAAGACGAAGGGUAAUGCUCCCAGCUGGUACAGUGACACUAAUCCCUGGGGAUGGUGAGGGCACGGAUGAGACUUCCCCACAGAGGUAUCCCACCAGCACUGGGCUGUGGAGCACCUGGCAGAGAACAGAACCCCACUGCAGGCUGGUACAGUGGCACUAAUCCCUGGGGAUGGUGAGGGCAUGGAAGAAACUUCCCCACAGAAGUAUCCCACCAGCACUGGGCUGUGGAGCACCUGGCAGAGAACAGAAUCCCACUGCACAUCUGGCAGGUGCAGACAGGGGCUCACCCUUCCCAGCAAGGUGGGCAUGCAGUCCAGCUCCCAUGGGACCUGAAGGGAGGCCAGGAGGGGGUUGUUUGUACAGCUUCACAUCACAAGCACUGCCCUGAGUGACAGCCAGUGCGUGCAGAGCCCAUGUGUGUCAGCAAACCCUACAAACAGAGGGGGCAGGGUGGACAAAGCCAACCCAGCCACUGCUUUGUCCAUCACUAUCUGUUAUCAUCACCAGCCACACUCCAGCCAAUUCUGGCUGGUUAAAAACUUUUCCUUUGGGAUCCUUCUGCUUUCUCUGUUUUGGAUGGAAAAUGUUUUGUUUUUAAUUAAAGAUGCCUUUGUGUGGAAAAAUAAAA
Molecule: long non-coding RNA, 853 nt
Organism: Pogoniulus pusillus (Red-fronted tinkerbird)
Lineage: Eukaryota; Metazoa; Chordata; Aves; Piciformes; Lybiidae
Exons: 2
Source: RefSeq, a predicted model, not a curated record